Cygnus olor (mute swan) is the source of this 9947-nucleotide long non-coding RNA. RefSeq lists it as uncharacterized. Lineage: Eukaryota; Metazoa; Chordata; Aves; Anseriformes; Anatidae. The transcript has 4 exons. The record is from RefSeq and is a predicted model, not a curated record.
GCUCCACCCUACAGCUGUUACCAGUAAUUGACAGUAUUUUCCGCACCUGACUGCCAUCAGUGUGGGGACUUUAACUACAAAAUGGCAGUUAUGGCGGUUAUGACACCACACGACUGAAGGAGCUGAGAGGAGCUGGUGGCAUCUGAAGAGCCUGGAGACUGUGGCAUCUGCUGCUUGAGCACCUCUGACAAAGGGCCUAAUUUCGCUGGAUGGGUGUUCAGUGCUGAAAUGCCCUUGUGGAAUGAGCUGCUCAAGGAUCAGCCUUUGCUAGAAUCCAGCAUCUGCCUUUGAUACCUCCCAGUGAAAGUUGUGCCCAGACUUCAGAAUAAUGCAUUUGUACUGAAGACUGAAAUACCUAUUAUGGCACCAAUUCUGUGAACCCAAUGCAGCUGAUUUUGCAUAAAAUAAGUUACAUGACGUAACAAACAAGCAUUAUAAGGAUUGUUCAGGAGUCAUCUGACCAGAUGGAAGUCUUACAUGUGUUGAUAAAUCCUCAUUGUCUUGGACACGACACAAGUUAAAAAAUACUUUGUUUUUACGCUACUGUAUUUACAUCCUGCAUUGUGUCACUUCACCCAUUCCCUCAGGUUGUAAAGCUACACAGUGGAUAAACUAAGGCAAGGGGUGAAUGCCAAGGAAAGUGAUUAAUAGCUUAUGUAACUGGGCAUGCUGCUUUCAAUGCCAUCUGUAUGGUCAUUUGUAUGCAGACUUGUGCUUUAAAGGACAAGUCACUUUGUACUUAGUUUUAUACUCUGUUCAUGGUUUCUACUGCACACAUUUCUCAACAGAAAAUUCCAAAAGUUCCUCUUAAAAUUUUUUUCUCCCCCAUUAUUUCCAGUGUCUGCUUUCUAAAGCCAACACACCAAGUAAGCAGUCAUUCCAAGAGCUUCAGCAAGCUCUUGUUGAUCCCUGUUCAAAGCUCUGGUAAGACUGACAAGUAUUAUUGGCAUUUCCCAUUUUCUCUUUUUCUCGUAGUUCUCUCUUCAAGCUUUGUGAACUAGAACAGCAGGUUGCAUUACAAAGGGCUUUUCCUACACGGAUGGUGUAAUGGAUACUGUUAAGCUGACUGAUUGGCAUGCUGGGGAAACAGAUCCAAAUGAGUACCUGAAAUUUGCUUUGGUUGCUUCACGGAAAAUAUUGGUACAGAAAGGGAUGACCUGGCCAACCGGGCCCAGGGGCGACUUGAUGAAUACAGCUGUCAGGUCUUCACACAGUGCAGCAGCUCUGAUUUGGAAGAGGUUAUUCUUGAUGACCACCAUUUGAGUCCCCACAUGACCUGAGCAGAAUAUCAUUCUGAAAGGAAUGGAGUCCUAACCGAAAUAUUUUCCACCUAGUGAUAGUAAAAAAUUUUGGAAAACUUCAAAGAAAACUUUAGCUAUGCCAAUGUCAUUAGCAUGCUGUCGAUUUUACUUCUGACAAGAAUCAGAUGAGAAAACAGUUCAUUACAUGAAAAGAAACUGCAUGCUGGAUAUCACGCAGAAGGCAGUUGGUUAGCAGGAGAAGCUCAAGUUAUUUUAAAGAAUUUUAAAAGUACAGCAUCUUCUUCCCACAAAUUAUACUUUAUCACUCUGAGAAACCCUUCCAAACAACAGUUCUGCAGCACCAGGGAAAAGGGGUCAGCAAGAUUUUGACAUAAUUGCACUGUAAGAAAACAAAGGCAUUUAGCUGUGUAUCAUGUGUAAUUCCUAUGAGAGUGAUUAUGUCCCGGUCGCAGCUUAUUGUUGGGUUGCAGUCACACAGCCCCCAGACUUCCCUCCCUUCCUUGUUACUGCACUGCUCUUGUAUUCUGCAGUGUAGAAUAAUGCAGGGACACAGAAGACUGGUCUUAUUUCCAACUCCACAUGGGGCAGGGAGGGAAGGGGACCAUAAUCCAACUUUUCCUAGAGGCCCAACAGACAAUUCCAUCUUUUUCAAUCUCUCCUUUGACCAAUCUUUCAGUUCAAGGAAUAGUUAAAUCAUAAAAUGUCUCUAUUUGAAAAGUGAAAUGCUCACCAUGACCUAUUUUUGCUUUAUUAAACAGACAGCAGAUACAUUCCUUAACAUUAUGCCAAUGAACUGUAAUGUUUUUUUUUUUCUUAGCAUUCUUUUAUCAUAUUUUAUUAGACAUACAGUGGUUGUUCUUCUCUCCCUCCCCAUAAAGGCAGGAGCGAGGGGAAAGAGCACUACAGGACUACAUGACAAUGGUGUUUGAAACCAAGGGUUUCAUGUGUGAGUGAGAGGGUGGCCACGUCCCUCUACCUGCAGGAGAAGUCACCCUUAGGCAGCCAGGUACUUGUCGGUGCGGGGCCAUUGGGGAUAACAUGGCACCAGAGCCCAGCAGAGAUGACAGUCAGCAUGGACAGGAUGCACGUGCUUUCAAACAUCCCGAUUUAAAAAAUAAACAAGUAAAAUCAAGUGUGCUCUUUGGAAGACCUCUCCAAAAGCUUGCACUGUUGAAGUAUUGUCACAAGCUUCAAUUGUCUUCCCAUGGAGCAGUAUUUCAAUAAAAAUGACUUAUUUUUACUGGCAAGAUUUCCUGUACCAAGUCAUGAAUGUUGCCAAAAGUCUCCAGCUGCUGGUAGUCUGAGCUCUUGCAGUGGUAGAGCUCAACGGCUUAUAGGAAUAAAUGAAGUAUAGCAGAACAUUGCACAUAACACUAUUAAUGAGAUUUGAUGUGAUAGCACAGACUAGCAUGACAUAUGAAAGCCUGGGUAGCAAAGAGGGAAAAAAUCUCAAUGCAACAGUAUGAUUUUGUAAGUACAUCUGUUUUCCUAACUUCUUGAAAAUUGGAUGUUCGUUAGUUCAAGUUAAUUCCAGAAAUACAAAUUGAGUCCCAGUCUCACAGGAAAUCUAGACGCAUUGAUUGCAGAGGUCCAAAUCAGCUAAAGCAGGAUGGAAAAUGAUGCUCACACAUUUAUCUUGAAAUACUAAAUAUAAUUUCAUAAAGAUAUGUGCACCUAGAAAACAAAUUUUCUCACACAACCUGGAUACUGGGCUGGAAUUCAGACUUGAACUAGUUUAAAUUCCAGGGGUGUCUGAAUCUAAUUUCUAUAAUUACACACACUUCCAUGGCUUGCUUCCAAAAAACCCUGAAUUCAGAAGAAGUUGUUUUCCAACUCUAGUUCCUAACAUACAAAGACCAUUUUGAAGCAGGUUUUCUGUGCCCAAAACGCAACUGGCCUAGUCUCAGUUGGAAAUCAAACUGCUCAACCCAGCACUAUGGAUAGUGUAAAAAUAUAGGAAGAAAAUUACCAAUAUAAAAAUAAACCAAAGAAAAGCAAGCAGAUUUUCCAAAUUAGGAAGAGAAUGCCUGGAAUAAUCAGCAUAGGCAAUCAGUAUCAUGCUUUAUUUAGACUGAGCCUUCAAUUAAAUAAAUGCUUUUCUCAGCAAAAGCAAAUGAGACUGUAAGAGAAUGAGAAAGCUAAAUUAGUGGAAUAUGAAUGACAUAAUAAAUAUGUAAUGAGUACAGUACAGACCUUUCUUCUCCCUUGCACUCUGUAGAGAUUUCAGGAAAAAAAGUAGUUCUGACUGGGCAACAAAAUUUAUUGCGUGGUCCAGAUUACCACCCUUAACGUGCUGAUUAAUGAACAAUUUUUAAAAAUAACUCCAGACACGAACCAAUGUUCACUGCAUUUCAUUUACGGAUUUAUGGCUCCCAGAACAGACUGCAGGUGAAGUUCAAAGCAAACAAGAGGAGGCAUUUCUUCACAGAGCACCAGCUGUGAAAUGGGAAACUCCUUUCCACUGUGAAAGCCCAGAGUUUUCAAAAGUCAACUCAACAAAUCCACAGAACCAGCCCUAAAUAGCACUGUACUGAUAAAACUAAUAUGAUUCAGUAAGUCGCUAAAAGAAAAAUUGUUGGAGAUUGGAAGAAUACUUGGAAGAAGUAUCAUUAUGAACUUUUCUGUCCUGUGCUACAGGGUUUGAGAAGGAGCAGCAGAGGAGUGGGCAACAGGGACCAUCAUUCUGGUCUAGUUACUCUGCUGUUACAUUAGCUAUUAAGUUUAAUGAUAAAACUAAGUUUAAAAUAGAAUUAUGCUUAUUUAAAAAUCGCAAGCUUCCCAGGCCAAACCUCUUGCUCAAAAACUGAAGAAAGGGUAUAUACUGGGAAAAACUGAACCUAUAUGAAUUCGUCCCCGAAACUGCAGGGGCUAGACAGGAACAGCACUAGAGCCAAAAUGGAAGCAAACAGAUGGAGAAGCAGUUCUGUAAGGAAACAACUGCGCUCAGUGAAAAACCUGAAUGUUAUCAACACUCCUUGGUACCCUUUCAGAGUUGUCAUGGGCAGGAGAACAAAAUCAAGUAUUAUCCAGGCACAGGGAGAUGCUACUGUAAGAGACUCAGGGUGUGUGUAUGUACCCACACACAUCUAUGUGUAGAUAUCCAUCCUGUUUAAAAAGGCAAUGUUUCUGGGCAAAUACAAUGAUUUAAGUCACAAGGACAAACUGAUCCUGAGCACCUCCCCUAGAGCAUCAGGCACAAACUGGCUUUUUUUCCUUCCUUUCACUUGCAGCAUACAGCAGCUUUUUAGAGUGCUGAACAGUGUGGUCGGUUCAACAGUAAUACCUGUUCUCAGAACAAUUUUGCACUCCAAAAUGAUGUUCUUUCAGCUUCCCUACAAGAGCACACAUUAACCAUAGCCAUUUUUUGCUGUACCUUUUUCCUCUCCCCUGGGCAGGUGGUGUAUAUCAUUUUUUCAAGACUUCAGUGCUACAAAGCGAAUGAUGAUAUUUAGUAGUCUUUGUAAACAAAAUCUCUCCUGUGGAAUUAAAUUGAUUUUUAUCUCAUUGCAAUUUGAGAAGUGCUCACAUCACCCCAUCUGCCAAGCAGGUGUUACAGAAGCAAACAAAGAUGUGAAAGCAUCAGUCACAGCAGUGCUAACAGGACUGUUCAGUGCUCAGGCAGUUCUCAGACCCUGAUCUCCAACAAACCCAGUCAGUUCCCUACAGUGGAACUCCAGUAAAAGGAAAUAUUCCCACUGGUAGGUGUCAGGGAACACCUUAAAUCAACCAUCACCAUUUGAAUCAACCUUAAAUAACCAUUAUAGAAUUAUUCUGUGCAGACCUUAUAAGCUCUGUAUUAUCCUACCUUCUUCAUCAGAGGUGUUGUGUAAUUAGAAUUACAGCUCAGCAACAUGAGCGUCUUAAUAAAAAAAUACCACAUUGUUGCCUGUUGUUAGCAAACACUACCCUAGAAAUGUGCAGGAAAACUUACUUAAAUCCACUUUAUAGAAUAAAAAAAUCCAGAGCUUGAUACAACUGGUGAAAUCCGUGGGUCUAUGUAAGUGGGAGACAAGCUAUUAGUCUGCAGUCUAUCUAUGACAAAAGUAGUUUUUUAUAGGACACCACUGAAUGCAGCUAUAUAGAGAAGGACCUUAGUCACACUUGUUUCUCCUAUAUAACCAGAGGAGAGGCAGCAGGCACAGCCAGAGGGUGACUCCAGAUCACCUAACGAGACUGCAGCUCUAAAUAAGCUGUUAGAGCUGCUCUCUGUAGAAGGUCACUCUGUGCUUCAGGUUUAUCUUUGUGAAUGCCUCUUGCGACCUUUCGGUGGAAUUUAUUUCUUGGUUUUGCUACAUUUUCCAUUUGAAAAUGAAGCUUUCUAAAAGAUCUGAUACAAAGCCCAGAUGAUCCCUGCUUGCCGUGUGCUCUAAGGAGUGAAAAGAAGGUAACCAAAACUACAGCCCAAUGGAGAAAACAGACGUCAAAAAUUUAUCAAAGAACAAACAUUACCUAAUCUCUCAUUAUGGAUUAUGCUAAAUAAUUGUAUUUUGCAGCAUCUCACUGCUGAAUUUCAGAAAAAAAUGUAUGUCUCUGUGUAUUUAUGUGCUAGAUGAUAUUCUCAUACUUAGGGAGCAGUCUUAAAAAACACCAUUCUUACACAGAUACACAAAAGAUAUUGAAACUGGUUACCUGUACCAUGAGCACAUAAUUUCAAGGUUGAAAGAGUUUGAGCUAAACACUGAAGUUGAGAGUAUUUAAAUCUAAAUUAUCUUAAAUACUGACAAAGCAACACAUAAGCAAGGACUGAGAUUACUCACUUGGUGUAUGGGCUUUGCCAAAAUCAAGGUCUCAAUGGCAGGAAGAAGAAAAUAUUACUCCCUUGUCAACUUUGAUUACACAACAAAGAAAAUAAUGAAACAUAACAUAUGUUGUCUGGUAAAUUUUAGAAACAACAGCUUUCAGCACUCCAUGCUUUAAUUUUGUACUCAAAUAUAUCUCAGCUGUGGAUGUUCAGAGAGCUGCUUCUCCCUUUAAUACCACUCUCCUGUCAAAACAUUCUAAGAGGAGCAGGUAGGUAUUACACUCUCUUAAUGAGUGAAGGUGUUAGAAGUUACAGCACCUGCAGUCACAAAUAUAAUAACAAAAAGACAUUUAAUAAAGUUAGGUUGUUACUUUUUCCUGUAUGUAUGAAUUUAAGUGCUUUCUACCACAUCUGAAAAAUUGCUUUGAAGUCAUCUUGAUGAAUUUAGAACUUUUUAAUUAAAAAAGCCGGAUGCUGCAGGGAUUUUCCUUUUAUUAUUUUAUGUCUCUUAUCUUGUGAUUCUCUCUCAGACUCGUAAGUCUCUCACCUAUGUACACCACCUGUAUUCUUCACAGCACUCUGAACCACAAAUUCUUUUAUCAACUUUGUCGGUGAAGAAACAGCUAGUAAUUUAGGUUUUAUUUGACAAAGGUCUUAAAACUAUUCAGACAUCUGCUUAAAUAUUUCACUUCAUUCUGGUCCUUAUUGUGUUAAGUUUCCGAAGAAAUUUCAGUGUGUUGGUGAUGGUUCUCAGGAUAAGAAGUCUUCAAAAGAUUGUCCAUAGCUCAGCAAAAAUACCGAUCUUUUUCUGGUCACAGAAAAAGUCUGUAAAGCCUAAUAAAAUUAUUAUUGAAUGAGAUCUGUAAGACAAAGUAUGUCUUCUACUGCAUAAACUGCUUAUUUAAAAACUAAUUUCUAAUGUUUAUCAAAGAAACAUGACACACAGGGCAGAUUUUGGGCUAGACCACCACCUGGAUUCCUUUUUUUCCCUUCAAAGCUACAAGCAAGCCUAUUUAUAUCAUUGCUAUAAAAUUCUUAAAAGCUGAAUAUGCAAUUCACGCAGCAGAGCAGACCUCACCACUGAGGAUGUUAGCUCAGCUCAUCCCCAGUACUCACACGCAGGCUUUUUUUCCUGUACUUAGCUUCUGCACAGAAAGGAGACGAACCUUACCAACUGGGGUUAAACAUUACACAAACAUGCUUUCACAAAUAUAUUCUCACUUAAAUGAUAAACUAUGUUCUCAACUGAGUUGACUUUCACUAUCACUGAAAUUGCUUUUUGAUGGACAAUGGUUGUUAUAAUGCAUUUAAAGAAAAAUGGGACUCGGAAGAUUUCUUAGACAUGCAGCUUACAAGUAUGGUUUAACUUUGCAUAGUAGUAAUACAGAUUUACAAGUGCCAUAUUUUCAAUUUAUAAAUAUUUAUCAUAAGGACAUGAUUUUAUCUUUAAUUAGCCCAACUGUUAAGGACACUUUUAAUGUGAGAAAUGUAAUUCAGUACUUUGUACCAGAUGUAGCCUCUACAGCUCGUCUUUUAUCUCUGCUUGUAAUGAGCGGAUACUUAAACCAAAAACAUUCUGUAAUGUGUAAGCGGUCAGAAGGGAGUCACUACAAAAGAUUUGGGCUCAGGAUUUAAAAUAAUCAUUUUCUGAAGUCGCAUACCUCACUCUGAAGAAGCUGUGCAAUGCUACCAUCCAUCCUUUCAGUACCAUUUUACUUUCUAUAAAAACCCAUAUGACUUUCUUGGUUUAUGAAAGGAUUGAAAUCCUUAGAUUUUUCUUCCUUUCCUCUCUCUCUCUCUAACCAGAUGCAUUACUGCUCCAUGUUUGACGCUAUGAACUUUAAAAGUAUAAGCGAGAAAACUGGGAUAGCUCCAGGUCUGAUCCUGGGUUAUCAUACAAUGCCCAUCUACUGACGUUGCAUUUCCAAAACCAAGCCCUAGAAUAUGCACAUUACAUUGAUUAAACUGAUUUUUUUUUUGUAAUUACACAACAAUCCUUCAGAGUGGUUGGAAACACUGCAAGACAGCAUCAUGCCAGGAUGCAAAGGGAGAGAUGCAGAACGAGAAAGCAGAAGGAAGGACGGGCUGGUGUCGGGCCAGGGGAUGGAGAAUAGUGGGGGACUCAUUAUAAAGGCAGCCUUGCCUUUUCCAGAAUAAAAAGCUGUACCAUACUUCUCAAUUAUGUGCUAUAAGCAGUUAACCUUCUUAAACAGCAGGUCAUAAAACAAAACAAAAGAAACCCCAACAAAUGCAAAGUAGGUUGGGGUUUCAUUAUCAAUAUUCUGCAUUUUAAUCCUCCAUUAAUAUAUGAACUGGGAGGAACCAAUUUUAUGUCCUACCAUGCUAACUGCCUCUUUGUAAUCUACUGAUAACAUUCUGUGGUCUUACAAAGACCGUUCUUCAAAGGAAUAAUAAAAUGGAAGCCAAAUGCACCCGUUACUAAGGAAACUCUGAGCCAACUUUUGAUGCAGCUCAUUUUUCCCAGCACUCUGAGUAACACUGAGCUGCUUGCUCUCUGUAUUCAUUUAAUUAGCACAUUUGAUUAUUGGAUUGCAAAUGUUACUUAUUGCCUCAGUGUUGUCUAAAACAGCAAGGAAAAGAUCAAUGUAUUAACAUAUUCAUGAAGGAAUCAAAUAACAGGCCAUUUGAGGAGGAUUUUUGGGUGGGAGCAAGGGGCACAGUGGGAAAUGAUGGAGAGAAGGAACGCAUGGGAUGUUCGCACAAAAAGAAGUUCAGAAUUUUUUUGCGAGAGUUGUCUUGUAUUCCUGGCUUCUCAUUCACUCUUCCCUCUCCCUUGAAGCCUGCAUGAGUUGUCUGAAAAAAGUUUUGACUUUUGAUUAACCCCCUGGAUACUCAUUAGGAGAAAGAGCCUGAAAUAUCCCUGUAAGAAGCAUGAUAACUUAACAAUGAUAAAUGUUACAGUGAUAACAUUUUGCAUAAUUUCUCUUCUCUUCUUCUGAUUAAUUAUAUUCCCAGUGCUGAGUGUUGUGAAAUGUUAGCAAGCCAUCUGGAUGUCAGAAAACUCUAGAACAGAACUGCUCUGGUUUCCACCCUAAUGCUCCUUUACUGGGAUAUGCCUGCAUGGUAGCGUCCUUCUGCUAACACGCUCUCUAAUGGACUACGAUGUGUUUUUACCAACAGUACAUAAGCAUUCAGCUGCCCAACUUUCCAAUAGAAAUAUUUCCCACUAUAUUAUCACUAGCACAAAAACGAACAGACAAAAAGACCAUAAUCAGAUACAGAGAAAAUGACACUCUGAUGCAGUGAUGGCAGGCUGGCAGGAAAUUCUGAGGGACUAGCACACUCCAGGAACAUGAAAGCAAUUAACGGGAAACAAUGGGAACAGCAUGGAGGAGUAGCUGCGUACUGUAUCUGUCUCCACGGCAUUCAAGUUUCAUCAAACAAAGCUAAGGGAUUUGGUACAAUAUUCUCGUUCAAAGCAUGUUCCACCUGCUUUCAUCCCAGAAAUGGCCCCUAUUAGGAUGGAUAAACAAAGGAUGGAUCUUAGCAAAGCAAGACUCUUUAACACUGAAUAAAUCUGGAGCACACUACACUCUUGGUUUAAAAUUGGCUCAGUGUGGGAGAAAACAACCUCCAAGGUAAUUCUGAAUUCUGUUUCUCUGUUUUAUGCAAAAUAAAUUCUGUAUUUUUCUCCUAUGGCAAUACCUGAUCUUCUAUUCCUUCAGUAGGAAAAAUUCAGGUUGUCUUGUAUAUACCAGCACUUGCAAAAUGGAAUCCUUGUUAUUUGUUUUAAAGAGUUUUUCACUUUCAGUUCUUUACUUUUCACUCAAAGUUUUGAAUUUCUUUUGCUGCAUUUGAGAGAUGAUUAGAUUCAGCUGGUAAUUUUGCCCUAAAAGUAACAACGAGGCUUAUAAUCUAAAUCUAAAAUUCCUUGAAAACAGUACCACGCAAGUUAAAUUUAUUUUUUUCUGGCAGCGUAAUGA